GAUCCACUAGCUCAGGCGGUAGAGCACCUGACUUUUAAUCAGGGUGUCCCGGGUUCGAUUCCCGGGUGGAUCACCA
Molecule: transfer RNA, 76 nt
Filed under: Ruminococcus sp.
Lineage: Bacteria; Bacillati; Bacillota; Clostridia; Eubacteriales; Oscillospiraceae
Also listed under: 3 other names
Description: tRNA-Lys
Rfam family: tRNA
About the family: Transfer RNA (tRNA) molecules are approximately 80 nucleotides in length.
Source: RNAcentral